This 1630-nucleotide ribosomal RNA is filed under the name Percolomonas sp. RNAcentral describes it as "partial small subunit ribosomal RNA". It matches the Rfam family "Eukaryotic small subunit ribosomal RNA", at positions 163 to 1764 of the family's 1831-position model. Lineage: Eukaryota; Heterolobosea; Eutetramitea; Percolomonadida; Percolomonadidae. The record is from RNAcentral.
GCUAAUACGUGACACAAAGCCUGGCUUUACGGCCAGGCGCGCAAGGCAUAGCAUGAAUGCUUCCUUGCAUGGCAGGCGCUUCGGUGCCUGCCGGCAGACCUCAAGAGGUUUAGGUGCAGCGCUAGGCGUUGCACUGACUAGAGGCUGAGCAGACAGCUUUCUAAUCCAUUAGCUUGUUGUGGAGGUAGCGGCUUCACAAGGCAGCCAUGGAUACGGGGAAUCAGCGUUCGGUUCCGGAGAGAAAGCCUUAAACACGGCUAUCACAUCUAAGGAAGGCAGCAGGCGCGCAAAUUGCCCAAUGCAGACUCUGCGAGGCAGUGAACAGCCAUAGCGACCUUGGCACUACGUGCCAAGGGAGGCCUUAGGCCUAACAAUGAAUGGCGCUUAACAAACGUCAUGAUAAACUAGUAGAGGAAAAGUCUGGUGCCAGCACCCGCGGUAACUCCAGCUCUGCAAGUCUAUGAUAAUACUGUUGUCUUUAAAACGUCCGUAGCCCGCUUAAGCUGGUCUAGCUAAGCGCCGUGCAGCUGCUGCCGUAGACCAGGCUCUUUAUAGAACCUGGUUGAAAGCUUAGCAGCUGUACCUUGGCAGCUAGCCUUUCGAGGCGAACUGUGGUGUGAAGCUAGGCUAGUGAAUGCGACAUCGCUAGCAAAUGGAUAUGCUCAAGGUAAGCAAAGGUGAUUUCACCCUAGCUUGCACUUCAUAGAGUGACACGUCAUUAGAGCAGGCUUUCUUAACAGGAAGCAGGCGUGCACAACGAGGAGGUCUCAGGCAAGGAGUAUUGGUAGGAUAGGGGUGAAAUCCAGUGACCCUACCAAGACUACAUGAGGCGAAAGCGCCUUGCUAGAGCCUGCCUGUCGGCGAUGGACGAGAGUGAAGGGCGCGAAGAUGAUUAGAUACCGUUGUAGUCUUCACCAUAAACUAUGCCAGCUCGGUAGGGCAGCCUCACCUUUGUGAAGGCUGCCUGACCUUAGGGAAACCCUUAAGCUCUUCGGCUAGAGGGGUAGUACUGUCGCAAGGCAGAAACUUAAAGGAAUUGACGGAAAAGCACCACCAGGCGUGGAGUCUGCGGCUUAAUUCGACUCAACACGGGGAACCUUACCAGGACAGGACAUUGAGUGGAUUGUCAGCUUAAAGAGCUUACCUGAUACUGUGGAUAGUGGUGCAUGGCCAUUCUUAGUUCGUGAAGUGAUUUGUCUCCUUAAUUGAGGUAACGAGCGUGACCCUGAAGGAUUGUUGAGCGCUGUUAGCUACGCUAGCAGCUGUCUGCUUAGGCAGCGUCUCCUAUCCUGAUCACUGGCGCCUAGCCAGGCGAGACAGGACAAUAAUAGGUCUGUUAUGCCCUUAGAUGCCCUGGGAUGCACGCGUACUACACUGAUGCUCUCAACGAGUAGACUAGCUGCCAAGGCUUGCUUUGGCAGCUUGGCUGUGCCUAAAGGCACGGCGAAGCUAUAAUGGGUAUCUCGGUAAGGAUUGCUGCCUGCAAGGGCAGCAUGAAUGAGGAAUGCCUUGUAAGCGCACUUCAGCAUAGUGCACUGAAUACGUCCCUGCUUUUUGUACACACCGCCCGUCGCAUCAAGGAACUUAACUGAGGCAAUGAGCCUGCUGGACGCAAGGAAGGCAGGCGAAU